UAUUUCUUCCUUUCGUUCUUCGGUCGACUGUGUCUCCCCCUCUUUGCCCUAACCUCCGAUUGCUCCGAUUGUUUGCUUCUUCAAGCUUAUACGAGUUUCCUAGAGCUUUCUCGAGCUUCCUCGAGCUUUUUCGAGCUUUGCCUGCCGCCUGGGAGUCGGCUUCUUCGAGCUUCCUCGAGUUCUUGGUUCUUUUUGGUGCAACGACGACAACUCCAUGGAAACAGCUUCUCCCGAUUGCCUUGGAAUCCAAUUCCCACCUCAAGCACUCUUCCUACCUUUAACUCGCGACCAUCAGAUCUAAUGGCAGACCUUCCAACCGAACUGUAGUUUUCAGGUUACGGUCAGCCCACUUCUUGAUUUCUGUUCUUAUCCUGUAUGAAUGACUUGGGUUCUUCCGAAUCUUCAUGUGUUAUUUGUUGUUGAGGCUCUGUGUUUCAGAGGAUUCGAAGAGAACAGUGAUAAGAUGCAAAUUCACACGGAUCGCCGAAGCCGCAAGGUUCCCUAGAUUUUCCCGAUUCCGAGUUUAGCUCGAGACUCAGACCAUUUAAGUCUCUUCUCAUCUGGAUUGGGGUCUGGGACAGAAUUGACUUGAUAUGAUUUUCAUUUUUGUGGGGACAGGCCAGAGAGUAUAAUACAUACAUACAUACGCGCGCGCGCGCACAUAUAUAUAUAUAUAUAUAUGUUAUUUGUUUAAUUACAAGUAGAAUAUUGCAAUUCA
Molecule: non-coding RNA, 718 nt
Organism: Punica granatum (pomegranate)
Lineage: Eukaryota; Viridiplantae; Streptophyta; Magnoliopsida; Myrtales; Lythraceae
Source: RefSeq, a predicted model, not a curated record